Molecule: ribosomal RNA, 1372 nt
Filed under: uncultured bacterium
Lineage: Bacteria
Description: bacterial SSU rRNA
Rfam family: Bacterial small subunit ribosomal RNA
Source: RNAcentral
GAUGAACGCUGGCGGCGUGCCUAAUACAUGCAAGUCGAGCGAACGGACGAGAAGCUUGCUUCUCUGAUGUUAGCGGCGGACGGGUGAGUAACACGUGGAUAACCUACCUAUAAGACUGGGAUAACUUCGGGAAACCGGAGCUAAUACCGGAUAAUAUUUUGAACCGCAUGGUUCAAAAGUGAAAGACGGUCUUGCUGUCACUUAUAGAUGGAUCCGCGCUGCAUUAGCUAGUUGGUAAGGUAACGGCUUACCAAGGCAACGAUGCAUAGCCGACCUGAGAGGGUGAUCGGCCACACUGGAACUGAGACACGGUCCAGACUCCUACGGGAGGCAGCAGUAGGGAAUCUUCCGCAAUGGGCGAAAGCCUGACGGAGCAACGCCGCGUGAGUGAUGAAGGUCUUCGGAUCGUAAAACUCUGUUAUUAGGGAAGAACAUAUGUGUAAGUAACUGUGCACAUCUUGACGGUACCUAAUCAGAAAGCCACGGCUAACUACGUGCCAGCAGCCGCGGUAAUACGUAGGUGGCAAGCGUUAUCCGGAAUUAUUGGGCGUAAAGCGCGCGUAGGCGGUUUUUUAAGUCUGAUGUGAAAGCCCACGGCUCAACCGUGGAGGGUCAUUGGAAACUGGAAAACUUGAGUGCAGAAGAGGAAAGUGGAAUUCCAUGUGUAGCGGUGAAAUGCGCAGAGAUAUGGAGGAACACCAGUGGCGAAGGCGACUUUCUGGUCUGUAACUGACGCUGAUGUGCGAAAGCGUGGGGAUCAAACAGGAUUAGAUACCCUGGUAGUCCACGCCGUAAACGAUGAGUGCUAAGUGUUAGGGGGUUUCCGCCCCUUAGUGCUGCAGCUAACGCAUUAAGCACUCCGCCUGGGGAGUACGACCGCAAGGUUGAAACUCAAAGGAAUUGGCGGGGACCCGCACAAGCGGUGGAGCAUGUGGUUUAAUUCGAAGCAACGCGAAGAACCUUACCAAAUCUUGACAUCCUUUGACAACUCUAGAGAUAGAGCCUUCCCCUUCGGGGGACAAAGUGACAGGUGGUGCAUGGUUGUCGUCAGCUCGUGUCGUGAGAUGUUGGGUUAAGUCCCGCAACGAGCGCAACCCUUAAGCUUAGUUGCCAUCAUUAAGUUGGGCACUCUAAGAUGACUGCCGGCGACAAACCGGAGGAAGGUGGGGAUGACGUCAAAUCAUCAUGCCCCUUAUGAUUUGGGCUACACACGUGCUACAAUGGACAAUACAAAGGGCAGCGAAACCGCGAGGUCAAGCAAAUCCCAUAAAGUUGUUCUCAGUUCGGAUUGUAGUCUGCAACUCGACUACAUGAAGCUGGAAUCGCUAGUAAUCGUAGAUCAGCAUGCUACGGUGAAUACGUUCCCGGGUCU